AGAGUGCGACGGGAUGACAGACCCCUUCAGUGCCGCCCCCGGAUCCAAGUUCCAGCUCCAGCUCCCAACGUCCCACGAGCUCCACACACAGAUAUUCACUCACACACACACACUCACGCACACACGCAUACUGGCGAACGUAUAACUUGACCUACAUUUGUGCAAGACAAUAACAACGAAAAAAAGCAACAAGACAAUACACACAUACAAAACAAAAUAACAAAAUUUACACACAACGCUCUGAGAAAUGAAAAAAGAAAAGGCAAGAAAUUUCCAACGGUACAUGAGCUGCUGGCCGGGCCUGAAUCAAUGUUUAUAUUGUAUAUGAAUCGCCAGGGCUUCGGAAUCGGGGUAUCAACGAAUUCGCUUUUCGAUUCACAGGCCUCGCUCACUGGGCUUUGUUUCUGCCCAAAAGUUAUUAUCGUAAAAUUGAUUUCAUUGAAGUAGCUGUCUUCGUCAUCGGAUCGUCUUGGUUUGGUCGACGCUUUUGCACACAUAUGUAUCUGUAUCUUGUAGUAUGUAUGCUAUACAUCGCUUUCUGGUACACUCCGCUUAUGUAUGUAUAUUGAUAAUUAGGCGAAAGGUGAAUAAACCCAUUGGCUCGAUGCCGCCGCUCCGCGUUCAAUUUACACAUUUUUGGUAUUUUGGUAAAAGAAAUCGAGUCAGCAGACUGCAGCCCAUGGAUCGGCGGUUCCGCAUUGGAAAACGCUAGAAGACACCACAAAUAGAAAGCGACAGUGGAAGUCAAGUCAAUCUGGGACAUAAACAGCUCUCUGGAUGAUUCGGUGGUCAUAUGGGUCUUCAUUGGGGAAAUCUAUAGUUUCUUAUUACAUUAAAGAAAUAAAUGCUACCUUUAUUAUGAAAUACAAUUCAAAAUCGACAAACAUGUUUGUAGUU
Drosophila melanogaster (fruit fly) is the source of this 897-nucleotide non-coding RNA. Lineage: Eukaryota; Metazoa; Arthropoda; Insecta; Diptera; Drosophilidae. The record is from Ensembl.